This 266-nucleotide unclassified non-coding RNA is filed under the name Hevea brasiliensis (rubber tree). The record is from RNAcentral. Lineage: Eukaryota; Viridiplantae; Streptophyta; Magnoliopsida; Malpighiales; Euphorbiaceae.
CGCCGCAACCCAUCCGCCGGCAUCGUACAGCACCACGGUGUCAUCGUUGCCGAUGCCAAGCGCACCGAUGUCGCGGCCGAACUGUUCGGCACUGGGAAACAUAUGCGGUAGCGAGCUUGUGUGAUCCGACACCGCGUCGACAUCGAAGAACACCGCGCCGGGAAUGUGCUGCGCCAGAUAGUCGUCCUUCGGCAGCGGCAGGAUGCCGGGCAGCUUGAACGUGGCAUCGAGAACCUUCACGCGCGGAUCGUUCAGAUGCGCGGCAA